This 292-nucleotide ribosomal RNA is filed under the name uncultured bacterium. RNAcentral's name for it is "partial 16S ribosomal RNA". The record is from RNAcentral.
GGACUACUCGGGUUUCUAAUCCUGUUUGCUCCCCCAGCUUUCGUGCCCGAGCGUCAGGCGGUGGCCAGGGCGCUGCCUACGCCGUCGGUGUUCCUCCGGAUCUCUACGCAUUUCACCGCUCCACCCGGAAUUCCACGCCCCCCUCCACGCCUCAAGCCGCGCCGUCUGCGGAGCCUGCGCCCAGUUGAGCCGGGCGAUUUCACCCCCCACGCGCGCGGCCGCCUGCGCACCCUUUACGCCCAGUAACUCCGGACAACGCUCGCCUCCUACGUAUUACCGCGGCGGCUGGCAC